This 464-nucleotide ribosomal RNA is filed under the name uncultured bacterium. Its description in RNAcentral is "partial 16S ribosomal RNA". It matches the Rfam family "Bacterial small subunit ribosomal RNA", at positions 28 to 505 of the family's 1533-position model. The record is from RNAcentral.
GAUGAACGCUGGCGGCGUGCUUAACACAUGCAAGUCGAACGAUGAAGCCCAGCUUGCUGGGUGGAUUAGUGGCGAACGGGUGAGUAACACGUGAGUAACCUGCCCUUAACUCUGGGAUAAGCCUGGGAAACUGGGUCUAAUACCGGAUAGGAGCGUCCACCGCAUGGUGGGUGUUGGAAAGAUUUAUCGGUUUUGGAUGGACUCGCGGCCUAUCAGCUUGUUGGUGAGGUAAUGGCUCACCAAGGCGACGACGGGUAGCCGGCCUGAGAGGGUGACCGGCCACAAUGGGACUGAGACACGGCCGAGACUCCUACGGGAGGCAGCAGUGGGGAAUAUUGGACAAUGGGCGCAAGCCUGAUGCAGCGACGCCGCGUGAGGGAUGACGGCCUUCGGGUUGUAAACCUCUUUCAGUAGGGAAGAAGCGAAAGUGACGGUACAUGCAGAAGAAGCACCGGCUAACCACG